Athalia rosae (coleseed sawfly) is the source of this 718-nucleotide long non-coding RNA. RefSeq lists it as uncharacterized. Lineage: Eukaryota; Metazoa; Arthropoda; Insecta; Hymenoptera; Athaliidae. The record is from RefSeq and is a predicted model, not a curated record. The transcript has 4 exons.
UCCAAUCAGUCUGAUUAUUUGAGUGAUUUGGACGAGAAAAUCUUGGUCCCGGAAUGCGUGAUGCCGGACGAGGUAUUCCACUUCCGGCACCAGACAUUCUAGUGGGAACACUCCAGUUAGUCGGAGCUCUCAAUCUUGUCUUACUCUCCAGCCCGUUAAUAGACGGUUUUCACGCACCAGCUGUUCCCACAGGUUGAGUGGAAGAACUAACAGGACUCAAAAUUGGCGAGCUUGUUUUAACGGUAUGCGAUGCAGUAAUAUCAGGAUUGCGUUGAUUAGAUGCACCUUUCAGUAUUGGAGAUGAUACAUCACCAAACAUGCUGGUCUUCAUCAUUGACUCUGUGAGGAUUUGAGAAUCUACAAUGCUUUCUCCGUGUGGCAAAGAUUCUUUAGAUGUAUCUGCAAGAGACGAACUCAGAUCUGAAGCAAAGUGAAGAUGAAAACAAAAAGUUGCCAGAAUAUCACAUUCGUGAUGGAGACUUACUUGAGGAUUAGAGCCUUCUAUUGUCGGAGAGGGUCUUUGCCACACAUUUUCAACUGAAGGUGAUAAUGCUUCUAUAAUUGAUUCAAAGCUUAGCCUAUUACUUCGUUUUUUUGGUCUGGUAAAUGUUCUUGUAUCUAUAGAUUUUCUUGUACCUAAGAAUUAACAAAAGAUGGAUUGUUUGCCAUUUGUGAAAAAUAAAAAUAACUGAUAUAUUUAGCAGUGCAAUACAUGAAA